GCUCUGAAUACCACUUGAUACAUCAAGGUUUGAUGUAAGCUUGUAGAUCCGUGAGAGGAGGGCCUAGGAGAAGAGAAACCAGCGGUGGAAAUGAAUGGAACAGUACCAGGCAAAUGCAGGUUGGUGACGGUAGUAGCAACCAGAUCCGGAUGGAGGAAUUUGGUAGGAAGGCAGCGGAUGAAAGUGUUUAUCAGAGAUGGAUUGGAGCGGAGGCUAGCUUGAAGAGAUGUCUACAACUCAGACGGCUUCCACAAGAGGAAGAAAGUUGCAAUGGAGAAACAAGCUAUGGAGUGACUCUUGGAAAAGAGAAAAUGACUAAGCAUUUCAGCAGAGUUUUUCUAUGAUCAUCCAAAAGUGGAGUACAAAGGUUGCCUUGGAGGUUUU
This 384-nucleotide long non-coding RNA is filed under the name Vigna radiata. RNAcentral's name for it is "long non-coding RNA (VRAD_LNC008405)". Lineage: Eukaryota; Viridiplantae; Streptophyta; Magnoliopsida; Fabales; Fabaceae. The record is from RNAcentral.